GGUGGAUGUAGCCAAGUGGACCAAGGCAGU
Molecule: transfer RNA, 30 nt
Filed under: Adenophora nikoensis f. nipponica
Lineage: Eukaryota; Viridiplantae; Streptophyta; Magnoliopsida; Asterales; Campanulaceae
Description: partial tRNA-His
Source: RNAcentral